UCUUAGUCUUUUUCCCUUAUUUCUAAGGAUUGGAAUUAGAAUUAGGUUUCUCAAUAAGUGAAGAACAGAUCGGCUAUGAGCUUGUGGCUGCGAGUGUUGCGACUGCGAUAGAGACGGUGUCACAGCGACUUAACGACCUCGGCGCCGAUGACUCUCAAGUGUGACUGCUUGUUUCCUCAUUUUUAACCUUCAAUCUUCAACUCUUCAACAGGUUCACAACUUCUUCAUUUUUCAUUAUUCAAUCUUCAUUAAGUUAGUACGUUGAACAAUUGACUCAAAGAUAAUAUAGUAAGUACAGAAGUAACAUUAUGGUGUCUAGUUUAUAGUUAAGUCGUAGAGACAUAUGGGUAGUUGGACGCCAUUUACAAAAUACAUUUUACCACUUGGCCUGGGCGAAAUUAAGAGGGAAAGAACUAACUUAUUUGCUAUCUGCAACUUGUUAUUCAGCUUUUCAGUAGUUUGGGUGUACACAAACAGAUUUAAGGGACUAUUUUAUCGUAGCUAUUGUAGUUUUCACUGGGUCUAUUUUCCUUAGGCAUUGUGAUACUAAACUCAGUUAUUUAUUUACACUUAUCUAUUUGUAUGACAUAUGUAUUUGGUCGAAUUAUCUUUAGAUAUGGAAGAUAAUGGAAGUACUACUACCAUUGUUUGAUCACUUUGGCGUAUAGUUGCAGUGGUGAAUUUAAUAUUCUAUUUGUUUGGUGAUAUACUUUUAUAGUUUUUUUCUUUUAUCAUCAAAAAAUAAUAUUCUAACUUAUGAUUUUAUCUUCUUUUUUUAGGUUCAAGUUCAAUAAUGCCCCGUGCUCCUAAAGUUGAUUCGAGAGUCGAGACUAUUUAUGUUAUUUUGAUUUUUGAGAAUUUGUUAAACUUAUUUAAGCUUAAUGUGUUAGACACUUAGAUUUAUGUUAUGGGCCAGUGUUCUUAUCAUUUUAUGUUGAUGUUGAUGUUGUUGCUGCACUGCUUAUUAGUUAAACUUACAACUUUAUGUUUGGCAGAAUGGCAGUAACCAGUAGGUUUGCAAACUUUGCAUAAUGUUAUUGCUACUGUGAGCGUGACACUUUAGUUGUUAUUACUUAUUGGUGUAAACUUGAAUUCUCUCUAUUUUUGUUACAUUGUGUUUAAUGCUGC
Molecule: long non-coding RNA, 1128 nt
Filed under: Nicotiana tabacum (common tobacco)
Lineage: Eukaryota; Viridiplantae; Streptophyta; Magnoliopsida; Solanales; Solanaceae
Description: long non-coding RNA (NTAB_LNC009524)
Source: RNAcentral